ACGCGCAGAACNUUACCAACCCUUGACAUCCUGUGCUACUACCAGAGAUGGUACGUUCCNUUCGGGGACGCAGUGACAGGUGCUGCAUGGCUGUCGUCAGCUCGUGUCGUGAGAUGUUCGGUUAAGUCCGGCAACGAGCGCAACCCACAUCUUUAGUUGCCAGCAGGUUAAGCUGGGCACUCUAGAGAAACUGCCCGUGAUAAGCGGGAGGAAGGUGUGGAUGACGUCAAGUCCUCAUGGCCCUUACGGGUUGGGCUACACACGUGCUACAAUGGCAGUGACAAUGGGUUAAUCCCCAAAAGCUGUCUCAGUUCGGAUUGGGGUCUGCAACUCGACCCCAUGAAGUCGGAAUCGCUAGUAAUCGCGUAACAGCAUGACGCGGUGAAUACGUUCCCGGGCCUUGUACACACCGCCCGUCACACCAUGGGAGUUGGUUCUACCCGACGACGCUGCGCUAACCCUNNGGGGG
Molecule: ribosomal RNA, 469 nt
Filed under: uncultured bacterium
Lineage: Bacteria
Description: bacterial SSU rRNA
Rfam family: Bacterial small subunit ribosomal RNA
Source: RNAcentral